RNAcentral lists this RNase P RNA (358 nucleotides) under Candidatus Kaiserbacteria bacterium. Its description in RNAcentral is "RNase P RNA component class A". It matches the Rfam family "Bacterial RNase P class A". From Rfam's summary of the family: Ribonuclease P (RNase P) is a ubiquitous endoribonuclease, found in archaea, bacteria and eukarya as well as chloroplasts and mitochondria. Its best characterised activity is the generation of mature 5'-ends of tRNAs by cleaving the 5'-leader elements of precursor-tRNAs. The record is from RNAcentral. Lineage: Bacteria; Candidatus Kaiseribacteriota. RNAcentral also lists the same sequence under 1 other name.
UAGAAAUACGCGAUGAUCGCCUCAUCUUUUUUGGGUGGGGAGGAAAGUCCGGACACGCCCAUCAUUUUUUUGGUGGAGUACGGUAGCGGGUAACGCCCGUCAUACGUGAGUAUCGAGGUGCGAGCAGUGACGUCUGACCCGAAAGGGAAAGAACUCCCUAGAGGAGUAAUCACAUGGCAACAUGUGGGUGAAACGGCUAAAUCCUUACCAGCGUGCAAGGCCGUAUUCUCGUGCAAUACAUAUGUGUGUGCGAGUCUGAGCCGCAUGAGGUGAAUGGCAACAUUCAUCCUAGGUAUAUGAUCAUCACCAACACCACUUGUGGUGUUGGUACAAAAUCCGGCUUACGUGUCACCAAAGG